CCAAGGAGUCUAACAUGUGCGCGAGUCAUUGGGUCUUGCUCAGGCCCAAAGGCGCAAUGAAAGUGAAGGCCGGCUCGGCCGGCUGCGUUGGGAUCCCGUCCUUCGAAGGCGGGCGCACCAACGGCCCGUCCCAGUCGCUGCGUCGACGGGGCGGAGUGAGAGCGUACACGUUGGGACCCGAAAGAUGGUGAACUAUGCCUGGGCAGGACGAAGCCAGAGGAAACUCUGGUGGAGGUCCGCAGCGAUUCUGACGUGCAAAUCGAUCGUCAGACCUGGGUAUAGGGGCGAAAGACUAAUCGAACCAUCUAGUAGCUGGUUCCCUCCGAAGUUUCCCUCAGGAUAGCUGGCGCUCGGAGGAAGCAUUCUCAUCCGGUAAAGCGAAUGAUUAGAGGCCUUGGGGCCGAAACGACCUCAACCUAUUCUCAAACUUUAAAUGGGUGAGAAGUCCGGCUUGCUCGACUGAAGCCCGGACGUGAGGAUGCGAG
RNAcentral lists this ribosomal RNA (485 nucleotides) under Stylocellus sp. DNA101472. RNAcentral describes it as "eukaryotic LSU rRNA". It matches the Rfam family "Eukaryotic large subunit ribosomal RNA", at positions 666 to 1119 of the family's 3401-position model. The record is from RNAcentral. Lineage: Eukaryota; Metazoa; Arthropoda; Arachnida; Opiliones; Stylocellidae.